AUGCAAGUCGAGCGAACAGACGAGGAGCUUGCUCCUCUGACGUUAGCGGCGGACGGGUGAGUAACACGUGGAUAACCUACCUAUAAGACUGGGAUAACUUCGGGAAACCGGAGCUAAUACCGGAUAAUAUAUUGAACCGCAUGGUUCAAUAGUGAAAGACGGUUUUGCUGUCACUUAUAGAUGGAUCCGCGCCGCAUUAGCUAGUUGGUAAGGUAACGGCUUACCAAGGCAACGAUGCGUAGCCGACCUGAGAGGGUGAUCGGCCACACUGGAACUGAGACACGGUCCAGACUCCUACGGGAGGCAGCAGUAGGGAAUCUUCCGCAAUGGGCGAAAGCCUGACGGAGCAACGCCGCGUGAGUGAUGAAGGUCUUCGGAUCGUAAAACUCUGUUAUUAGGGAAGAACAAAUGUGUAAGUAACUAUGCACGUCUUGACGGUACCUAAUCAGAAAGCCACGGCUAACUACGUGCCAGCAGCCGCGGUAAUACGUAGGUGGCAAGCGUUAUCCGGAAUUAUUGGGCGUAAAGCGCGCGUAGGCGGUUUUUUAAGUCUGAUGUGAAAGCCCACGGCUCAACCGUGGAGGGUCAUUGGAAACUGGAAAACUUGAGUGCAGAAGAGGAAAGUGGAAUUCCAUGUGUAGCGGUGAAAUGCGCAGAGAUAUGGAGGAACACCAGUGGCGAAGNCGACUUUCUGGUCUGUAACUGACGCUGAUGUGCGAAAGCGUGGGGAUCAAACAGGAUUAGAUACCCUGGUAGUCCACGCCNUAAACGAUGAGUGCUAAGUGUUAGGGGGUUUCCGCCCCUU
Molecule: ribosomal RNA, 805 nt
Filed under: Staphylococcus epidermidis
Lineage: Bacteria; Bacillati; Bacillota; Bacilli; Caryophanales; Staphylococcaceae
Description: bacterial SSU rRNA
Rfam family: Bacterial small subunit ribosomal RNA
Source: RNAcentral